UACGUAGGGGGCGAGCGUUGUCCGGAUUUAUUGGGCGUAAAGAGCGUGUAGGCGGUUCGGCAAGUCUGUCGUGAAAUCCUGAGGCUCAACCUCGGGCGUGCGAUGGAUACUGCCGGGCUAGAGGGUGGUAGAGGCGAGUGGAAUUCCCGGUGUAGCGGUGAAAUGCGCAGAUAUCGGGAGGAACACCAGUAGCGAAGGCGGCUCGCUGGGCCACACCUGACGCUGAGACGCGAAAGCUAGGGGAGCGAACAGG
This 253-nucleotide ribosomal RNA is filed under the name uncultured bacterium. RNAcentral describes it as "partial 16S ribosomal RNA". It matches the Rfam family "Bacterial small subunit ribosomal RNA", at positions 524 to 776 of the family's 1533-position model. The record is from RNAcentral.